Molecule: ribosomal RNA, 494 nt
Filed under: uncultured bacterium
Lineage: Bacteria
Description: partial 16S ribosomal RNA
Rfam family: Bacterial small subunit ribosomal RNA
Source: RNAcentral
GACGAACGCUGGCGGCGUGCUUAACACAUGCAAGUCGAACGGAAAGGCCUGCUUUCCCCUGUGGAUUGCGGGUACUCGAGUGGCGAACGGGUGAGUAACACGUGAGUGAUCUGCCCCCAACUUGGGUAUAAGCCUGGGAAACUGGGUCUAAUUCCCGAUAGGACUGCAGGGUGGUGCCUGUGGUGGAAAACGAUUUUCUAGUGGUUGGGGAUGAGCUCGCGGCCUAUCAGCUUGUUGGUGGGGUAAUGGCCUACCAAGGCGGCGACGGGUAGCCGGCCUGAGAGGGUGGACGGCCACAUUGGGACUGAGAUACGGCCCAGACUCCUACGGGAGGCAGCAGUGGGGAAUAUUACACAAUGGGCGGAAGCCUGAUGCAGCGACGCCGCGUGGGGGAUGACGGCCUUCGGGUUGUAAACUCCUUUCGACCGCGAGGAAGCCACCUGGUUGGAAGGGUGGUGACGGUAGUGGUAGAAGAAGCACCGGCUAACUACGUG